CAUAUGGAAGUUCCCAGCCUAGGGCUCUAAUCGGAGCUACAGCUGCCAGCCCAUGCCACAGCAAAGGGGGAACCAAGCUGAGUCUUCGACCUACACCACAGCUCACAGCUCACAGCAAUGCCGGAUCCUUAACCCACUGAGCAAGGCCAGGGAUUGAACCUAUGUCCUCAAGGAUACUGCUCAGUUUGUUACUACUGAGCCACCAUGGGAACUCCAUCAAUUUAAAUUCUUAGCAGCUUUCCUCAGUGGUCAUAUCACAGCCUAAUGAAGUGUAAUUGUUGCUGGCUAAUUUUCUGCAGUUUCUUUCCUACCAAACAAAAUUAAAAUCACAUCUAAGCAAUGUUUAAAGCUCCGCCUCCCCCCCCACAGAAAUAGCAAUCAUUUGACCUCAUUCUGUUCAAAUGACUUUUUCUUCCAGGUUGCAUUUGUUUGCUUUAGUUGUGGGGAGAAGUGCAAUUAUUAUAAACAUAAUAGCAGCUUAUAUUAAUUUCGCUUUACACUCACAAGUAUAUGACAUUAUGUUUUUGAUUCUUAUAAACCCAUUGUAAAAGUAUGUGAAUUAUUACCCAUUUUCACAAACAGUAAGUGAAGGUUAAGCAACCUGCCCAAUGUCACUAUGUUAAUAAGGUCAGAAGGAGUCACAAAUCCAGAUCCUUUAGUAAGUCUUUGGCUCUUUUCUAUUAUUUCAUCAGGAAAGUAUCAUAUAAAGAAACAUUCGGAAGACCCCUGUAUGUCACUCUAUAGUAAAUUCAAUAUUAAGUAUACUCGAAAGGUUUUUUGCCGUCUCUAGACUGCUUCUUUCUUAUCCUUCUAUCAAAAUAACUCUGACACGUUGUCUUACAGUGGUAGAAGUCAACACUGCAGAACUGUGCAAACACAGAUGAUCUCAAAUGCCCAAGUUCUACCAAAAAAAAAAAAAAAGUUUGGUCCACAAAAGCUGUUCAAGGAAUCCAUCGAUAUGCUUCAGAUUCAACUAGCGAAGGAGGAGAGAUCUGUCACCCAAGCCUGUCAUAGAGCAAAGGAACAGAGAAUAGAAGGUCUGGGGCAGAAGAGGAGCAAUCAGGUCCUGGGAAAACAGGAGUGAUCAGAAGCCUAAGAUGUUGACAGGAGAAUCACGGGAGCCUUAGCAAGUUCCCAAUUCUUUUCCACCCAGUUGUUGGAAAACAUCCAUUUACAUCUGUUAAGUGGUUCAAUUUAUGUGUCUACUUAUCUAGACUAAAAGCAUCUCAAGCCAAGUGCAAUAUUUCUUGGGAUAGUUUCUUAAAUGUUCUUGAAAGCUACUUGGGUUGUCUUUUGUUUAGUCUGUCUUUUAAGCACACAUUUUUAAAAAUUCAAUUAGAAAAAUGGGUAAAUGGCACGAACGAACACUUCAGUGAAGAGAGUAUAUGAAGGGCAAAUAAGUACAGGAAGAGAUGUUCAACAUCAGGAGCUAUCAGACAAUGCAAAUUAACUCUAAUGAGCCCUCACUUCACACCUAUCAGAGUGGUGAAAAUAAAGAACACCAAAUGCUGGUGAGGAUGCGGAAAAACUAGACCACGCAUACUCUGAAGGAGUAUAAACUGACUACUGCACAAUAAAAAUCAAUUACUGAUGCAUGCAACAACCUGGAGGAAUCUCCCAGGAGUUAGAGUCAAGAGCCAAUCCAAAACGUUAUAAACUUUAUGAUUCCAUUUAUAUACGGCAUUUUUAGACAUGGUGAAUCAAUUAGUGGUUUCCAGGGUCUAGGGGCAGGAGAGGAAUGGUGGGAGAGAAGUGGGCGUCGCUAUUAAUGACAAGGGCAACAAGAGGGACCCUUGUGUGUUGGAAGUGUUCGCAUCUUUACUGCGGUGGCAGAUACAAUUUUAACUCCACAUGUGAUCCAACUGUUUGGAACGAAAUACGCACAGACGAGUAAAAGUUAAACUGUAAAUGUGACCAAGACCGGUAAAGGGCAUCCAGGUCAAUGUUCUGUUUAUACACCAUGUGGGUAUUUCUGCAAGACGUUACCAGUGGGGGGCACUGAUGAAAGACUCUUUCUUACAAUUCCGUGUCCAUCUGUGAGGAUCUCAGUUAAAAUGUCAGUUUAAAAAUGCAUCAGUGACUAGUACUUGCAGGCUUAGCCAUCUCAAAAUAUUUUUGCCUUCCUUCUUUGAAACAGGACUGCUCUUUGCUGUAUUUGUCAACAAUUAUUUCUCAUAACUAGCUUCCAUUACAUACAUUAUGAAUACAGCUCAUUAAACUUAAGCUGAUGAGCUAAAGAAGCCUUAAACCAACAGUCCAUGUUGUGAGGCUUCAUUUGCAUAAGCUGGAGGAGAGGCAAAUAUAAUCUGUGAGGCAAAAGCUCUUAAAGCCAGAAGACUAGUUUCCUGCUGCUAAGGGGAAGCAGUAGGCGACUAGGAAGGUGCAGAAGAACUAGCUGGGCUGGCAGUAACGUUCUAGACCCUGACAGGCGUGCAAGUGACACAUAUGUAAGCAUUUGUCCAAACUCAAACUUAGCCGUAAGAUUGUGCACUCCAAUGUAUGCAAACUUGACAUGAAAAAAAACUAUAAACAGAUUGAAAUGAAGCCUAAAUUACUAGCUUCCUAUCUGUUAGAUUCACAUUCUUUCAACUGAUGAUUCUAGCAGUAAGAUACCACACCUUCGAUAUACCCAGGAUCAAACUAAAUGACUCCAAAAGUUUACAAUUAUCCCAUCUCAUACGCCUUCUUCUCAGGGAAAGGAAAUUGCAAUCAGUAACCAUGAAGCAAAUUCAUAUAAAAAAAGUAUCAUUAAAUCAGACUAAAUUAAAUUAAAGCAGAUGUAAUUAGGGCCCUCUGAAACUAAUUUUGGCUAAUACUUUGUUUACAUGCAAUAUAGAUGUAGCAACUACUGACCUCAGGCACUUUCAGCUUUUAUAUUAAUUACUACAUGUGCUUUUUAUAUCCCAGUUCAGAAUAUCCUUUAUAGGUCUGAGUAGCUUAGAUUCUUCUGCCAAGGUAAUUUCAAAUGAGUCUCAGAUCCCACAGAAGACCAAAAAAAAAAAAAAAAAUCCUAUAAAAAUCCACAUAUUGAUAUUGAUGUAACAUCAGUGGGCUGACAGUAAGAGUUACAGAUUUUGCUUUGCCAAACCACGAUUUUGUUCUAUUUACAAUACUUAUUGUGGUAAAAUUACAAGAGGGAUGGUGGGCUGUUCUUAAUUACUAUUAUACCCAAUAGGAUCCAACCCUUUUCACUUAAUAGGCUUACACUGCAGAGACAUGUCUUCUUAAUUGGCCAGACAAGUCAAGACGCUGAUGAAAAUUAUUCCCUGACCCUACCAACAAGUCAGAGAGAAGAUACUGUGAGAAAUGUCUUGUGCCUACUAUCCACCUUGGUCUUUAAGCUUUGUUCAUGCUCCAGGCUCCAUUUCUAGCUGCAUUUUAGGUUAAAUCACUCUGAUUGAUGGAAUAUAUGGUGGUCAUGAGCUCUAUUACCAAAACAUCUGAAGUAUAUUCUUCAUUAUUCAAUGAAAUGAACUGCAAAAAUUUACACAAUUCUCAAGGUAUUUCAGCUACAAAUGUUGACUUUUUUAUACUACUUGGUAAAAAUAUUAACAUAAACAAGAUGGCAGUUUCAACUCUAGAAAGAGACGGGGAAUACGCAGCCAAUGGGCAAACAAAAGCUAGAGGAAAUGCCUAUCAGAAGUUGCGCCUGCAAGAGCAGUUGCCCAGUUGAGAGUCAAGUUAGAGGCAGCAAGGAGAAAAUGAUUUGCUGUGAAAAUAUGAUGUCUGUUCAAAAGACCCAGAAGCUAAGCAUAAGUCCAUCAACCGAGUUUCAGUAAUAAAAUGAGAGCAGGUGCUAACACAGGAAUCCAUGCACAUGCGACCUGGGCACAUACAAUUCCUAUUCAAAGCCCAUGCGUAGCUUCCUUCCUUUCUUACUCCCACUGUGAGGAUCUAUACUUUCACCUUUUGUUAUGCUUGACCACCAGUCUUACUGGACUUCCACAGAGAGCUGCAAGCCCCAGCAAACGGAAAGUUUUAGUCUGUCUAGCUAUCAGAGCUAGCCCAAUCAUUUGGGUUAUUAACGCAUGUUCACUCAACAGCACCUAAUUCUUUAACCAGAUGAAUGGAUUUGGAAAUGACAAUCUGAUAUGCAACUCUGUCCUCUUUUUCUGUCCAAAGAGGUCCCUACGUUUAUUGUGGUGUUUUUGUUUUUAUAACAAAAAAAGGUAUGAACAUUCCAUAAAUGCAGGAUUGUAUUCCUACAACCAAGCAAAACUCGAUCUGCCCCUUCCAGGUGCGGAACAACCCUCCUGGCUCUCCGGGUCAUAUCCUUCCCUAUCUUAAAUAGUUAUUUUGAUAAAAUUUGCUCCUAAGUUUGAGUCCUCAGCCUCAUUUCAUUCCUUCCCCUGCCAUCAGUAGGCACUUCAGAACCACAGACCAUCUUUCGUCAAGUCUAGUGCUCUGUUGCUGAACAGACCAGAGAAUGACUUUAGUCGUGAAGAGGCCGGCAAGCGCUGGUCCUACAUGCACUGAUGCAAGAACUGGUUAAGUCGCCAAGUGAUUUGAACAAUUCCUUCCAAGGAAGAGGUUUACACUUGAGAACUGGGACAUUCAAGUGUUCCUGUGUGAUGAUUACCAACCAGGAGGAGAACCCACAGUCUCCUUCCCAUCACUCCCCUCCCCUCACUACAAACGCCUCUAAAUGCCCUUGACCGAAAUACGUUUUUGAGAAGCAUAUGCCUGUUCACAGUAGGUAGGAGUGUGCAUUGCACUAUGUUUAUUUUUCAAACUCAGCAUUUCUUUAUUGCUGAAGAUCUAUUUGGAAAUCCCUUCCUCCUCUGAGGAAGCAUUAUUCAGCCAGGGGGCCAUCAAACGCUGAUAUUUCAAGAAAUCUAAUCUCUUAAUGACUGCUAUUGGAGAAGAGAGAAGGGCUGUGGAAGAGUCAUCUUGAAAUAAGGGCUCACGGGCACCUGAGAUGGGGCUUAAAUGCUUGCAGGGAAUCAGAACGGCCACCAACAUAUGCCAUCAGCGUAGUGCAGUUUGUCAGCCCAGGGGUGUCCUGUCCAGAGAGGAUGAGCUGUCCCCUCCAACACCCAGGUCCCCCAUGCCUCAUUCUUCCAUCAUGUGCAAGUGCACUCACUGUUUCAAGAUAAAACCAGGCUUCUGGGUGUUCCAAACAGAGCAAGUCGGACUAGUGUGUGUGGAUGGAAGCAAGCAAUAGAGACGAUGUAGGCAGAUGGAGCUGCUCACUGAAGGCUCAGGUUUUGAGCGUGAAUGUCCUUAAUAGUGAAUGUCAGCUACUGAGCAGGGGACAAGGGCAACUUAGGCAGAGAGAAGAAUUUGUGCAAAGCAACAAAGUGAAAACAUGCUCUGUGUGCAAAAAAUAGCAGGUGGUUUUAGUGGGUUUUCAAGAAUGAUGGUGAUGGCAAAGGGUAUCAAAUAGAUGGGAGACAAGAUUUAAGGAAAGUGUUUAAUAAUUCAUUCAACACAUACAUAUUAAGCAUCAAUGAUGCACCAGUCAUGAUGCUGAGGUGGAGGAAAACAAUGUUUAAGAAAUAAGAGAUCCUCCUUUUUGAAAAGAAACCAGACCUCAGAUACAGAGUUGAUUCAAACAAGAUUCUCAACAUCAACGCUGUCAUUGUAAUUCCUUCCAAAGAAGCCGAGUGGAGGUUUUUGGUUAAGUUAGAAAAUCUGAUCUCAAAGAAAUGGAUAGCAUUUAGGCGGACUGAGGAAAGACUUUGCUGCUACUUAAGUUCUCUAGCUAUCUUUAUCAUUGGUAAGAUAUGACAUGAGGAUGCUACAAAUGGCAAGAUCAAGACAAAUGAAGUACACACAAUAAAUUCUCUCUUUUCUGUGUGCUUACAAAAGGUGACUUUCCCUUGAAAAUAAGUACUUAAGCUCAACCAACAGUGCAGAAUUUAAUGUGCGUUGUUACAGGGCCUCCGAAAGUGGUGACAAGCUGAGCUUUGUUCUCGGCCCGGCCCAGGCACACAGACCCAUUCCAAACCUGCGACCCUGGUGUUCGUAAUUAAGUCUGACCUGGGGGAAUCUGAAGGAAGACAAGGUUCAAGGGCCCAGAGGGCACUGAAAAGAAUGAUGGGGCUGAGGGUCUUGAUGUCAACACAAAUAGCAGAAAGUCUGGAGUGGUUUUUUUUUUUUUUAAUGUUACAAUGGGUUGGUUUUUUCUUUUUCUCCGAACUCAUCUCUGCUUUUCCCAAAUAAUAAAAUCACAUAGGUGGGAGGAAGAAAGAAGAGGGCGAUUUGGAACCAAGGAAGUGAGUUUACCACCCACAUCUAAGUUGUUCAGAUCACAGUGCAGGUCCAGCCCUUAACACCCAGCACAGGGAAGACACCCCAUGCCCCCGUCAUCACCCCCUCCUUUGUCCCACAGGUCUGUCAGUGCAGAAGAAGGGCCGGGGCUUGGGGAAAGGCCCAGCCUCAUCUUCCUUAUGAAGAAUCCUUCACCCUCCAGAGCCAGAGAUUUAGGAGAAGAGUCAGAGAGCACCCUCAUCCCAUUCCACAAGGGGAGCCCCUCAAGUGACAAAGGCCAAAAGGACCAGCCCAAGAUGGCCAGCACGAAGGCC
This 6527-nucleotide long non-coding RNA is filed under the name Sus scrofa (pig). RNAcentral describes it as "lncRNA (ENSSSCG00050032514.1)". Lineage: Eukaryota; Metazoa; Chordata; Mammalia; Artiodactyla; Suidae. The record is from RNAcentral.